GUGCUCAGGCCCUGAGUCCAAGGCCCAGGACUAGCCAAAAAAAAAAAAAAAAAAGAAAAAGAAAUAGAAUCUAGAGCCUGCUUUACAUAGCUCUACAAGGCAGUGUUAUAUAUUCCAAUACUAGGAGUACACACUUAAAAGUAUAGCCAUAUGAAUGUGAAACCCAAGACUAGAUUCCCAAUUACAGGUGGCAAUGGGUCCCUCCAGCUUUCAGGAAA
Molecule: long non-coding RNA, 218 nt
Organism: Perognathus longimembris pacificus (Pacific pocket mouse)
Lineage: Eukaryota; Metazoa; Chordata; Mammalia; Rodentia; Heteromyidae
Exons: 3
Source: RefSeq, a predicted model, not a curated record